RNAcentral lists this ribosomal RNA (384 nucleotides) under uncultured prokaryote. Its description in RNAcentral is "bacterial SSU rRNA". It matches the Rfam family "Archaeal small subunit ribosomal RNA", at positions 341 to 725 of the family's 1478-position model. The record is from RNAcentral.
GCGAAAACUUUACAAUGCUGGCAACAGCGAUAAGGGAACCUCGAGUGCCAGGUUACAAAUCUGGCUGUCGAGAUGCCUAAAAAGCAUUUCAUAGCAAGGGCCGGGCAAGACCGGUGCCAGCCGCCGCGGUAACACCGGCGGCUCGAGUGGUAACCGUUAUUAUUGGGUCUAGAGGGUCUGUAGCCGGCCGGAUAAGUCUCUUGAGAAAUCUGGCAGCUUAACUGUCAGGCUUUCAGGAGAUACUGUCUGGCUCGAGGCCGGGAGAGGUGAGAGGUACUUCAGGGGUAGGGGUGAAAUCUUGUAAUCCUUGAAGGACCACCAGUGGCGAAGGCGUCUCACCAGAACGGACCUGACGGCAAGGGACGAAGGCUAGGGGCACGAACC